CUGCAUUGGGAAAGGAUGUGGGCCCGUAAGCCCUACAACUGUGAGCGCUGCGGGAGUGAUUUUGUCAGCUGCACGGCUCUGAAGCAUCACUUUCAGCAGAAGCAUCUUGGAAAAGUUCACUGUGAAAAAUGUGGCCAAGAAGUCCUGAGGGAGAAGCUCCAAGAUCACAGUAAGCCCAAAUGUCCACAGGAUUUUCACCUCAUAAUAUGUUGGAGUGUAAAGGUCCCCAAGAGCUACAGAGAUUUGCAGACAAAAAAAUCCACCCUGCCUCGGGCUCCCAGCAUGCUGCUUGUGUGGCUGAAGUCGGCGCCCUGCUCCAGCUGAUCCAGGGUUGCUUUCCGGUGCCGGCCUCCCGAGUCAUCCAGGGUGGCUCCUAUGUAAAGGGGACUGACACCCAAGGACGCUCUGAGAUUGACAUCGUGUUGCUCAGUGAUUUGUUUGCCAAUGUGAACCCUUGCAAGAAACAACUGAGAGAAGGGUUGGAGGCUCUGAGAGAAAACUUAAAGCGAACUUCACAUGGGAACAGGUCUGAAUGUGUUUCUGCAAAUUCUUUUAUUACAAAGGUGGAGAAGACUGCUAAAGGAAACUUAGCUUGGCACAGAAGACCAUUAUUGAGUAACAAUUACUUGUGCAUGCUAACAUUAAAUUCUUGGAAGAAAACUUGGAAAGAUUGCCCCAGAGGCUUUUUUUUUUUUUAAAGACUUCUAGCUAAACUUUCAAUGAAAUUUCAUGAAUUUAAGAUCCUAUGAUUUAAGGACUAAUUAUGUCUUCUCCAAAGCACCUUUAUUUAAUUUCCAUCCCUUAGCUGAAACCUGACUCUGGAAUGCAAACAGGAAGGGCUGAGAAUGGUGCCUCCAAGAACGAAGAAUCUUUUGAGACACACUUGUCUGAUAAACAUUCCCUUCAGCGAUGUCCUGGGGUCUUUUGCUGAAGUGGUUCUACUGACAUUAUACAUAAUGUCUUUUUGCCUCCAAUGUUG
Camelus dromedarius (Arabian camel) is the source of this 979-nucleotide long non-coding RNA. RefSeq lists it as uncharacterized. The record is from RefSeq and is a predicted model, not a curated record. The transcript has 3 exons. NCBI's taxonomy places the organism in Eukaryota, Metazoa, Chordata, Mammalia, Artiodactyla, Camelidae.